GGACAGAUGGCCGAGCGGUUUAAGGCACCGGUCUUGAAAACCGGAGGGGGCGCAAGCUCUCCGCGAGUUCGAAUCUCGCUCUGUCCGCCA
RNAcentral lists this transfer RNA (90 nucleotides) under Rickettsiales bacterium. RNAcentral describes it as "tRNA-Ser". It matches the Rfam family "tRNA". Rfam says of the family: Transfer RNA (tRNA) molecules are approximately 80 nucleotides in length. Their secondary structure includes four short double-helical elements and three loops (D, anti-codon, and T loops). Lineage: Bacteria; Pseudomonadati; Pseudomonadota; Alphaproteobacteria; Rickettsiales. The record is from RNAcentral.